CUGCACUAACUGCACUAUACAUAACGGCACAGGAUAUUCUUUUUUCACCCUGAAGGAUAAGCUUUAUCAAAGGACACUGCUUUGGUUCCAGUUUCCAGUGCUUUAUUGUUUCUAGAAAGACGGAUAACCAGCGUCCACUCAAGUCGCUCGAUCACUAGUUGUAGGCUGCACAUUUUCUACGGUUUUCGUUCUCUACAACGUGCGCAGCGAAUAAAAGUUUUACGGACUCGCCAGUAUGGAUCACUUCUGCUUUUAGGGGACCAAACACGUGCAGCAGUAUUCGCAUAAUUUUGGAGAGGAUUGACGCCUAGUGAUGCCAGGACAGUGAGCAUCAUAAUGCGAGGCACGUGGUCCGGGGCCACGCCCCUCCUCAUAAUGGUUCUUCUCAGACUGGCCCAAGGCCAAGAGGUUCCUUUAGUCCCAGAGACUGGAGGCGCUCAGGAUGGGGCCAGCGAAGGGGCAACACCGGCUCCCACCACCGAGCAUGAGGAUGACAACACUUUGGGCUACACAG
Molecule: long non-coding RNA, 514 nt
Filed under: Cottoperca gobio
Lineage: Eukaryota; Metazoa; Chordata; Actinopteri; Perciformes; Bovichtidae
Description: lncRNA (ENSCGOG00000002052.1)
Source: RNAcentral